UACGUAGGGUGCAAGCGUUGUCCGGAAUUAUUGGGCGUAAAGAGCUCGUAGGCGGUUUGUCGCGUCUGCUGUGAAAACUCGGGGCUUAACUCCGGGCCUGCAGUGGGUACGGGCAGACUAGAGUGCGGUAGGGGAGACUGGAAUUCCUGGUGUAGCGGUGAAAUGCGCAGAUAUCAGGAGGAACACCGGUGGCGAAGGCGGGUCUCUGGGCUGUAUCUGACGCUGAUGCGCGAAAGCUAGGGGAGCAAACGGG
This 253-nucleotide ribosomal RNA is filed under the name uncultured bacterium. RNAcentral's name for it is "partial 16S ribosomal RNA". It matches the Rfam family "Bacterial small subunit ribosomal RNA", at positions 524 to 776 of the family's 1533-position model. The record is from RNAcentral.